GCGGAAGUGGCGGAAUUGGUAGACGCACCAGAUUUAGGUUCUGGCGCCGCAAGGUGUGAGAGUUCAAGUCUCUACUUCAGCACCU
Molecule: transfer RNA, 85 nt
Filed under: Vibrio parahaemolyticus
Lineage: Bacteria; Pseudomonadati; Pseudomonadota; Gammaproteobacteria; Vibrionales; Vibrionaceae
Description: tRNA-Leu
Rfam family: tRNA
About the family: Transfer RNA (tRNA) molecules are approximately 80 nucleotides in length. Their secondary structure includes four short double-helical elements and three loops (D, anti-codon, and T loops).
Source: RNAcentral